RNAcentral lists this ribosomal RNA (413 nucleotides) under uncultured prokaryote. RNAcentral's name for it is "bacterial SSU rRNA". It matches the Rfam family "Bacterial small subunit ribosomal RNA", at positions 505 to 918 of the family's 1533-position model. The record is from RNAcentral.
GUGUCAGCAGCCGCGGUAAUACGUAGGGUGCAAGCGUUAAUCGGAAUUACUGGGCGUAAAGCGUGCGCAGGCGGUUAUACAAGACAGGCGUGAAAUCCCCGGGCUUAACCUGGGAAUGGCGCCUGUGACUGUAUAGCUAGAGUGUGUCAGAGGGGGGUAGAAUUCCACGUGUAGCAGUGAAAUGCGUAGAUAUGUGGAGGAAUACCAAUGGCGAAGGCAGCCCCCUGGGAUAACACUGACGCUCAUGCACGAAAGCGUGGGGAGCAAACAGGAUUAGAUACCCUGGUAGUCCACGCCCUAAACGAUGCUGACUAGUUGUUCGGGAUUUACAUCCUGAGUAACGUAGCUAACGCGUGAAGUCAGCCGCCUGGGGAGUACGGUCGCAAGAUUAAAACUCAAAUGAAUUGACGGGG